Sceloporus undulatus (fence lizard) is the source of this 467-nucleotide non-coding RNA. Lineage: Eukaryota; Metazoa; Chordata; Lepidosauria; Squamata; Phrynosomatidae. The record is from the annotation of a RefSeq genome assembly.
AGUUCAGUAUAAUUGCUUGAAUACAUUUGCCUUACAGGUCCUAGAAUCUCAACCCACUGAUGGAAGGCCUGCAGUUCACAGUCUUGAUAAAUAUCCUAAUGAUUUUUCCUCCAUGCAUCUCCUCACAGAUUACACUCUCAGAAUCUGGUGGUGGUCUGAAGAAGCCUGGAGAGUCCCUACAUUUGACCUGCACAGUGUCUGGAUUUUCUUUAACAAGCUAUGCAGUGAGCUGGGUCCGUCAACCUCCAGGAAAGGGUUUGGAAUGGAUGGGGAUUGCCUAUGCUACUUCAAGCCCUGACUAUAACAGUGCUCUCCAAAAUCGGAUCAGCAUCACAAAGGACAAUUCGAAAGGCCAGGUGUUUGUUCGACUGGAUGGCUUAAAGCCUGAAGACACAGCCAUCUAUUACUGUGCAAGAAACACAUUGAGGAAAUCCCACUCAGAGGCAGCUCAAAAACCACUCUUCUAA